UACGGGGGGGGUAAGCGUUGUUCGGAAUUACUGGGCGUAAAGGGCUCGUAGGCGGCCAACUAAGUCGGACGUGAAAUCCCUCGGCUUAACCGGGGAACUGCAUCCGAUACUGGAUGGCUUGAGUUUGGGAGAGGGAUGCGGAAUUCCAGGUGUAGCGGUGAAAUGCGUAGAUAUCUGGAGGAACACCGGUGGCGAAGGCGGCAUCCUGGACCAACACUGACGCUGAGUGAGCGAAAGCCAGGGGAGCAAACAGG
This 254-nucleotide ribosomal RNA is filed under the name uncultured bacterium. RNAcentral describes it as "partial 16S ribosomal RNA". It matches the Rfam family "Bacterial small subunit ribosomal RNA", at positions 524 to 776 of the family's 1533-position model. The record is from RNAcentral.